GUAGAUAGGGCAGAGGUGGAAGUGUGGUAACGCAUGGAGCUGACUGUUACUAAUCGGUCGAGGCUUUAACCAAA
This 74-nucleotide ribosomal RNA is filed under the name Anaerostipes hadrus. RNAcentral describes it as "partial 23S ribosomal RNA". The record is from RNAcentral. Lineage: Bacteria; Bacillati; Bacillota; Clostridia; Lachnospirales; Lachnospiraceae.